UACGUAGGGUGCGAGCGUUGCCCGGAUUUAUUGGGCGUAAAGGGCGCGUAGGCGGUGAGAUGCGUCCGUUGUGAAAUCGCCCGGCUCAACUGGGCGGGGUCAGCGGAUACGGUCUCACUCGAGCAAGCUAGGGGGCAAUGGAAUUCCCGGUGUAGUGGUGGAAUGCGUAGAGAUCCGGAGGAACACCAGUGGCGAAGGCGGCUCUCUGGUACGUGACUGACGCUGAGACGCGAAAGCGUGGGGAGCGAACAGG
This 253-nucleotide ribosomal RNA is filed under the name uncultured bacterium. RNAcentral describes it as "partial 16S ribosomal RNA". It matches the Rfam family "Bacterial small subunit ribosomal RNA", at positions 524 to 776 of the family's 1533-position model. The record is from RNAcentral.